This 694-nucleotide ribosomal RNA is filed under the name uncultured Staphylococcus sp. RNAcentral's name for it is "bacterial SSU rRNA". It matches the Rfam family "Bacterial small subunit ribosomal RNA", at positions 62 to 738 of the family's 1533-position model. Lineage: Bacteria; Bacillati; Bacillota; Bacilli; Caryophanales; Staphylococcaceae. The record is from RNAcentral.
UCGAGCGAACAGACGAGGAGCUUGCUCCUCUGACGUUAGCGGCGGACGGGUGAGUAACACGUGGAUAACCUACCUAUAAGACUGGGAUAACUUCGGGAAACCGGAGCUAAUACCGGAUAAUAUAUUGAACCGCAUGGUUCAAUAGUGAAAGACGGUUUUGCUGUCACUUAUAGAUGGAUCCGCGCCGCAUUAGCUAGUUGGUAAGGUAACGGCUUACCAAGGCAACGAUGCGUAGCCGACCUGAGAGGGUGAUCGGCCACACUGGAACUGAGACACGGUCCAGACUCCUACGGGAGGCAGCAGUAGGGAAUCUUCCGCAAUGGGCGAAAGCCUGACGGAGCAACGCCGCGUGAGUGAUGAAGGUCUUCGGAUCGUAAAACUCUGUUAUUAGGGAAGAACAAAUGUGUAAGUAACUAUGCACGUCUUGACGGUACCUAAUCAGAAAGCCACGGCUAACUACGUGCCAGCAGCCGCGGUAAUACGUAGGUGGCAAGUGUUAUCCGGAAUUAUUGGGCGUAAAGCGCGCGUAGGCGGUUUUUUAAGUCUGAUGUGAAAGCCCACGGCUCAACCGCGGAGGGUCAUUGGAAACUGGAAAACUUGAGUGCGGAAGAGGAAAGUGGAAUUCCAUGUGUAGCGGUGAAAUGCGCAGAGAUAUGGAGGAACACCAGUGGCGAAGGCGACUUUCUGGUCUGUA